GACGAACGCUGGCGGCGUGCUUAACACAUGCAAGUCGAACGGAAAGGCCUGCUUUCCCUUGUGGAUUGCGGGUACUCGAGUGGCGAACGGGUGAGUAACACGUGAGUGAUCUGCCCCCAACUUGGGUAUAAGCCUGGGAAACUGGGUCUAAUUCCCGAUAGGACUGCAGGGUGGUGCCUGUGGUGGAAAACGAUUUUCUAGUGGUUGGGGAUGAGCUCGCGGCCUAUCAGCUUGUUGGUGGGGUAGUGGCCUACCAAGGCGGCGACGGGUAGCCGGCCUGAGAGGGUGGACGGCCACAUUGGGACUGAGAUACGGCCCAGACUCCUACGGGAGGCAGCAGUGGGGAAUAUUGCACAAUGGGCGGAAGCCUGAUGCAGCGACGCCGCGUGGGGGAUGACGGCCUUCGGGUUGUAAACUCCUUUCGACCGCGAGGAAGCCACCUGGUUGGAAGGGUGGUGACGGUAGUGGUAGAAGAAGCACCGGCUAACUACGUG
RNAcentral lists this ribosomal RNA (494 nucleotides) under uncultured bacterium. RNAcentral describes it as "partial 16S ribosomal RNA". It matches the Rfam family "Bacterial small subunit ribosomal RNA", at positions 28 to 507 of the family's 1533-position model. The record is from RNAcentral.